This 253-nucleotide ribosomal RNA is filed under the name uncultured bacterium. RNAcentral describes it as "partial 16S ribosomal RNA". It matches the Rfam family "Bacterial small subunit ribosomal RNA", at positions 524 to 776 of the family's 1533-position model. The record is from RNAcentral.
UACGAAGGGGGCUAGCGUUGCUCGGAAUCACUGGGCGUAAAGCGCACGUAGGCGGAUUCCUAAGUCGGGGGUGAAAUCCUGGAGCUUAACUCCAGAACUGCCUUCGAUACUGGGAAUCUUGAGUCCGGAAGAGGUGAGUGGAACUGCGAGUGUAGAGGUGAAAUUCGUAGAUAUUCGCAAGAACACCAGUGGCGAAGGCGGCUCACUGGUCCGGUACUGACGCUGAGGUGCGAAAGCUAGGGGAGCGAACAGG